This 367-nucleotide ribosomal RNA is filed under the name uncultured organism. RNAcentral describes it as "bacterial LSU rRNA". It matches the Rfam family "Bacterial large subunit ribosomal RNA", at positions 2099 to 2464 of the family's 2925-position model. The record is from RNAcentral.
CUUUACUGCAGCCUGGAAUUGUGUUCGGGCUUCGCUUGCGCAGGAUAGGUGGGAGGCACAGAAGUUCCCCUUGUGGGGGGAAUCGAGCCAACGGUGAGAUACCACUCUAGCGAGGCUAGAAUUCUAACCCUUGCCCGUCAGCCGGGAAGGAGACAGUUUCAGGGGGGCAGUUUGACUGGGGCGGUCGCCUCCUAAAAGGUAACGGAGGCGCGCAAAGGUUCUCUCAGGCUGGUUGGAAAUCAGCCGUAGAGUGUAAAGGCAUAAGGGAGCUUGACUGCAAGACCUACAAGUCGAGCAGGGUGGAAACACGGUCUUAGUGAUCCGACGGUGCCGCAUGGAAGGGCCGUCGCUCAACGGAUAAAAGUUG